RNAcentral lists this ribosomal RNA (416 nucleotides) under uncultured bacterium. Its description in RNAcentral is "bacterial SSU rRNA". It matches the Rfam family "Bacterial small subunit ribosomal RNA", at positions 355 to 787 of the family's 1533-position model. The record is from RNAcentral.
UAGGGAAUAUUGCACAAUGGGGAAGACCCUGAUGCAGCGACGCCGCGUGAAGGAAGAAGUAUCUCGGUAUGUAAACUUCUAUCAGCAGGGAAGACAAUGACGGUACCUGACUAAGAAGCCCCGGCUAACUACGUGCCAGCAGCCGCGGUAAUACGUAGGGGCGAAGCGUUAUCCGGAUUUACUGGGUGUAAAGGGAGCGUAGACGGAUCUGCAAGUCUGGAGUGAAAGCCCGGGGCUCAACCCCGGCAGCGGCUUUGGAAACUGUAGGUCUAGAGUGCCGGAGAGGUAAGCGGAAUUCCUAGUGUAGCGGUGAAAUGCGUAGAUAUUAGGAGGAACACCAGUGGCGAAGGCGGCUUACUGGACGGUAACUGACGCUGAGGCACGAAAGCGUGGGGAUCGAACAGGAUUAGAUACCC